CAGCCGCCGCGGGAACACGAAGGGUGCAAGCGUUAAUCGGAAUUACUGGGCGUAAAGCGUGCGUAGGCGGUUUGUUAAGUCUGCUGUGAAAUCCCCGGGCUCAACCUGGGAAUGGCAGUGGAUACUGGCAAGCUAGAGUGUGUCAGAGGAUGGUGGAAUUCCCGGUGUAGCGGUGAAAUGCGUAGAGAUCGGGAGGAACAUCAGUGGCGAAGGCGGCCAUCUGGGACAACACUGACGCUGAGGCACGAAAGCGUGGGGAGCAAACAGGAUUAGAUACCCGCGUAGUCCCUGUCUCUUAUAC
This 301-nucleotide ribosomal RNA is filed under the name uncultured bacterium. Its description in RNAcentral is "partial 16S ribosomal RNA". It matches the Rfam family "Bacterial small subunit ribosomal RNA", at positions 509 to 807 of the family's 1533-position model. The record is from RNAcentral.